This 400-nucleotide ribosomal RNA is filed under the name uncultured bacterium. RNAcentral's name for it is "bacterial SSU rRNA". It matches the Rfam family "Bacterial small subunit ribosomal RNA", at positions 355 to 752 of the family's 1533-position model. The record is from RNAcentral.
UGAGGAAUAUUGGUCAAUGGACGAGAGUCUGAACCAGCCAAGUAGCGUGCAGGAAGACGGCCCUAUGGGUUGUAAACUGCUUUUAUAAGGGAAUAAAGUGAGUCUCGUGAGACUUUUUGCAUGUACCUUAUGAAUAAGGACCGGCUAAUUCCGUGCCAGCAGCCGCGGUAAUACGGAAGGUCCGGGCGUUAUCCGGAUUUAUUGGGUUUAAAGGGAGCGCAGACGGGAGAUUAAGUCAGUUGUGAAAGUUUGCGGCUCAACCGUAAAAUUGCAGUUGAUACUGGUUUCCUUGAGUGCAGUUGAGGCAGGCGGAAUUCGUGGUGUAGCGGUGAAAUGCUUAGAUAUCACGAAGAACUCCGAUUGCGAAGGCAGCUCACUGGAGCGCAACUGACGCUGAAGC